GGCGAACGGGUGAGUAAUAUAUCGGAACGUACCCAAGAGUGGGGGAUAACGUAGCGAAAGUUACGCUAAUACCGCAUACGAUCUAAGGAUGAAAGCAGGGGACCGCAAGGCCUUGUGCUCCUGGAGCGGCCGAUAUCUGAUUAGCUAGUUGGUGAGGUAAAGGCUCACCAAGGCCACGAUCAGUAGCUGGUCUGAGAGGACGACCAGCCACACUGGAACUGAGACACGGUCCAAACUCAUAAACGGGAGGCAGCAGUGGGGAAUUUUGGACAAUGGGCGCAAGCCUGAUCCAGCAAUGCCGCGUGAGUGAAGAAGGCCUUCGGGUUGUAAAGCUCUUUUGUCAGGGAAGAAACGGUAGAGGCUAAUAUCCUUUGCUAAUGACGGUACCUGAAGAAUAAGCACCGGCUAACUACGUGCCAGCAGCCGCGG
Molecule: ribosomal RNA, 429 nt
Filed under: uncultured bacterium
Lineage: Bacteria
Description: bacterial SSU rRNA
Rfam family: Bacterial small subunit ribosomal RNA
Source: RNAcentral